CACAGAGCAAGAGGGAAUGAGGAGAUGGAGGGCCGGGAUGCAUUCAGUUGGCUCCAGGACAACUGCCCCAACUCAGCUCCCAAGUGCAGACUCGAAUGCUCAUGAGAUGAAAGUUUCUGCUAAUUGAAGGAAUCCAUCAGUUGAAUACCCCAUGAUAUGGAGGCUACUCAUAGGAUCCAGUCUUAAAUGGUCCUUACAAGGCCUUGGUUUUUACUGGACGCCAUUGUUUUCUCCAAGAGCUGAGACCUCUUCCAGAUCAGCGUUUAGACAGCUCCUCGAGACACUGGCAUCAAGAACCCACCUAACAAAAAGGAUAUUUGAACUGCAGUCUUGAAGGAGAACAGUGCAACAGUUUAUAUCAACUAGUCUGAUCUGAUCUCCUUGGAGAAAAGACUUCACAACUUCAUCUAAUGAAAGAAGAAACUGUGAUCAGUCAUGGGAUUGCUGUGAAGAGGAAGUGAAAUAAUGUAGGUGGAAGAAAUACCUAGUACAUUGGAAGGCACAAUGUAGAAAAUAUAAUCUUGUUCAAAAAUGUAUCUUAUUGUGUUUUUUUAAAAAAUAUGUUAUUCAGAGAUAAAGG
This is a long non-coding RNA of Talpa occidentalis (Iberian mole), 580 nucleotides long. RefSeq lists it as uncharacterized. The transcript is spliced from 5 exons. Lineage: Eukaryota; Metazoa; Chordata; Mammalia; Eulipotyphla; Talpidae. The record is from RefSeq and is a predicted model, not a curated record.